GACGAACGCUGGCGGCGUGCCUAAUACAUGCAAGUUGAGCGCUGAAGGUUGGUACUUGUACCAACUGGAUGAGCAGCGAACGGGUGAGUAACGCGUGGGGAAUCUGCCUUUGAGCGGGGGACAACAUUUGGAAACGAAUGCUAAUACCGCAUAAAAACUUUAAACACAAGUUUUAAGUUUGAAAGAUGCAAUUGCAUCACUCAAAGAUGAUCCCGCGUUGUAUUAGCUAGUUGGUGAGGUAAAGGCUCACCAAGGCGAUGAUACAUAGCCGACCUGAGAGGGUGAUCGGCCACAUUGGGACUGAGACACGGCCCAAACUCCUACGGGAGGCAGCAGUAGGGAAUCUUCGGCAAUGGACGAAAGUCUGACCGAGCAACGCCGCGUGAGUGAAGAAGGUUUUCGGAUCGUAAAACUCUGUUGGUAGAGAAGAACGUUUGUGAGAGUGGAAAGCUCAUCAAGUGACGGUAACUACCCAGAAAGGGACGGCUAACUACGU
Molecule: ribosomal RNA, 496 nt
Filed under: uncultured bacterium
Lineage: Bacteria
Description: partial 16S ribosomal RNA
Rfam family: Bacterial small subunit ribosomal RNA
Source: RNAcentral